GAGGGCAUAGUUCAAGUGGUAGAGUGAGUGCUUAGCAUGCACAAGGUCCUGGGUUAAAUUCCCAGUACCUUCU
Transfer RNA from Camelus ferus (Wild Bactrian camel), 73 nucleotides. It matches the Rfam family "tRNA". Rfam says of the family: Transfer RNA (tRNA) molecules are approximately 80 nucleotides in length. Their secondary structure includes four short double-helical elements and three loops (D, anti-codon, and T loops). The record is from Rfam. Lineage: Eukaryota; Metazoa; Chordata; Mammalia; Artiodactyla; Camelidae.